UUAUGAAAAAUCUGACCUGCUCUAUGUAAAUGGCCGCGGUAUUUUGACUGUGCUAAGGUAGCAUAAUAAUUUGUUCUUUAAUUGGGGACUGGAAUGAAAGGUUGGACGAAAAAUUAACUGUCUUGAGAAUUUGAAAUUGGUUUAACGUGAAGAGGCGUAAGGGACGAGAAGACCCUAUUAAGCUUUAUUAUUUUAUUGGGGCGAUAAUGAUGAUAAAGGGAUUAAGUUACUAUAGGGAUAACAGCGUGAAAUUUUCGGAGAGAUCAUAUUGAUGGGAAGUUUUGCGACCUCGAUGUUGAAUUAAAUCUACCUGGAGAAGGACUUUUAAUUUUUUACA
This 337-nucleotide ribosomal RNA is filed under the name Charinus sp. 1 GSM-2017. RNAcentral's name for it is "partial large subunit ribosomal RNA". It matches the Rfam family "Bacterial large subunit ribosomal RNA", at positions 1843 to 2567 of the family's 2925-position model. Lineage: Eukaryota; Metazoa; Arthropoda; Arachnida; Amblypygi; Charinidae. The record is from RNAcentral.